This 283-nucleotide long non-coding RNA is filed under the name Lathyrus oleraceus (garden pea). RNAcentral's name for it is "Pisum sativum (pea) long non-coding RNA (PSAT_LNC035399)". Lineage: Eukaryota; Viridiplantae; Streptophyta; Magnoliopsida; Fabales; Fabaceae. The record is from RNAcentral.
CAUCUUUUUACUUGCUUAUAAAUAGAAACUCGAAAUCACUUUUACAAUCAUCCAAACUUAGAACAGAGGCAAACUCAGAGCAACUUUGUUUCACUUAGGCAUAUAUUCAGUAUUUUAAAGUGGUAAUCGCUUCGUAUUGGAGUGCUACCACAAUUGUGUAAUCGAGUCUGUGAUAGAGUCUGUAAUCGAGUUUGGAGCACUUUGGAAGAAAGUUAAUUCUGCCGCCAUUUUCAUUUCCGCUUUGCAAUUUACUCAACCCUCCGAUUGGAGCAGGUUUUUAUUA